This 468-nucleotide ribosomal RNA is filed under the name uncultured bacterium. RNAcentral's name for it is "partial 16S ribosomal RNA". It matches the Rfam family "Bacterial small subunit ribosomal RNA", at positions 28 to 507 of the family's 1533-position model. The record is from RNAcentral.
GACGAACGCUGGCGGCGUGCUUAACACAUGCAAGUCGAACGGAAAGGCCCUGCUUUUGUUGGGUGCUCGAUUGGCGAACGGGUGAGUAACACGUGAGUAACCUGCCCUUGACUUUGGGAUAACUUCAGGAAACUCGGGCUAAUAUCGGAUAUGAUCUCCUGCUGCAUGGUGGGGGUUGGAGAGUUUCGGCGGUUGGGGAUCGACUCGCGGCUUAUCAGCUUGAUUGUGUGGUAGUGGCUUACCAAGGCUUUGACGGGUAGCCGGCAUGAGAGGGUGACCGGCCACCUUGGGCCUGAGAUACGGACCAGAAGCCUACCGGCGGCAGUAGUCGGGAAUAUUGCACAAUGGGCGGAAGUCUGAUGCAGCAACACCGCGUGCGGGAUGCCCGCCUUCGGGUUGUAAACCGAUUUCGAAUGUGACGAAGAGUGAGUGACGGUAAUGGGUAAAGAAGCAACGGCUAACUACGUG